GUGACCUCAAAUCAGGUAGGACUACCCGCUGAACUUAAGCAUAUCAAUAAGCGGAGGAAAAGAAACUAACAAGGAUUCCCCUAGUAACUGCGAGUGAAGCGGGAAAAGCUCAAAUUUAAAAUCUGUCAGUCUUUGGCUGUCCGAGUUGUAAUCUAGAGAAGCGUCGUCCGUGCUGGACCGUGUACAAGUCUCCUGGAAUGGAGCGUCAUAGAGGGUGAGAAUCCCGUCUUUGACACGGACUGCCAGGGCUUUGUGAUGCGCUCUCAAAGAGUCGAGUUGUUUGGGAAUGCAGCUCAAAAUGGGUGGUAAAUUCCAUCUAAAGCUAAAUAUUGGCGAGAGACCGAUAGCGAACAAGUACCGUGAGGGAAAGAUGAAAAGAACUUUGGAAAGAGAGUUAAACAGUACGUGAAAUUGCUGAAAGGGAAACGCUUGAAGUCAGUCAUGUUGUCCAGGGAUCAACCUUGCUUUUGCUUGGUGUACUUUCUGGUUGACGGGUCAGCAUCAAUUUUGACUAUUGGAAAAAGAUUGAGGGAAUGUGGCAUCUUUGGAUGUGUUAUAGCCCUUGGUUGCAUACAAUGGUUGAGAUUGAGGAACUCAGCAUGCCGCAAGGCCGGGUUUUUUUAACCACGUACGUGCUUAGGAUGCUGGCAUAAUGGCUUUAAUCGACCC
RNAcentral lists this ribosomal RNA (669 nucleotides) under Cortinarius cf. arvinaceus PK5639. Its description in RNAcentral is "eukaryotic LSU rRNA". It matches the Rfam family "Eukaryotic large subunit ribosomal RNA", at positions 1 to 650 of the family's 3401-position model. Lineage: Eukaryota; Fungi; Basidiomycota; Agaricomycetes; Agaricales; Cortinariaceae. The record is from RNAcentral.